GGGGGGGGGGGGGGGGGGGGGGGGGGGGGGGGGGGCGGGGGGGGGGGGGGGGGGUGCGCGUGGAGGCAGCGGCGGACGGGGGAGUAAUGCGGAGGGAUCUGCCUGGCAGGGGGGGAUAACGUCCGGAAACGGGCGCUAAUACCGCAUACGUCCGGAGGGAGAAAGUGGGGGAUCUUCGGACCUCACGCUAUCAGAUGAGCCUAGGUCGGAUUAGCUAGUUGGUGGGGUAAAGGCCUACCAAGGCGACGAUCCGUAACUGGUCUGAGAGGAUGAUCAGUCACACUGUAACUGAGACACGGUCCAGACUCCUACGGGAGGCAGCAGUGGGGAAUAUUGGACAAUGGGCGAAAGCCUGAUCCAGCCAUGCCGCGUGUGUGAAGAAGGUCUUCGGAUUGUAAAGCACUUUAAGUUGGGAGGAAGGGCAGUAAGUUAAUACCUUGCUGUUUUGACGUUACCAACAGAAUAAGCACCGGCUAACUUCGUG
This 484-nucleotide ribosomal RNA is filed under the name uncultured bacterium. Its description in RNAcentral is "partial 16S ribosomal RNA". It matches the Rfam family "Bacterial small subunit ribosomal RNA", at positions 38 to 507 of the family's 1533-position model. The record is from RNAcentral.